Molecule: ribosomal RNA, 579 nt
Filed under: uncultured bacterium
Lineage: Bacteria
Description: bacterial SSU rRNA
Rfam family: Bacterial small subunit ribosomal RNA
Source: RNAcentral
AACGCGUAAGAAUCUACCUUUAGGAAGGGGGCAACAGUUGGAAACGACUGCUAAUUCCCUAUAUGCUGAGGAGUAAAACGGUAUUAACCGCCUAAAGAUGAGCUUGCGUCUGAUUAGCUAGUUGGUAAGGUAAUGGCUUACCAAGGCGAUGAUCCCUAGCUGGUUUGAGAGGAUGAUCAGCCACACUGGAACUGAGACACGGUCCAGACUCCUACGGGAGGCAGCAGUGGGGAAUAUUGCACAAUGGGCGAAAGCCUGAUGCAGCCAUGCCGCGUGUGUGAAGAAGGCCCUCGGGUUGUAAAGCACUUUCAGUCAGGAGGAAAGGGUGUGAGUUAAUACCUCACAUCUGUGACGUUACUGACAGAAGAAGCACCGGCUAACUCCGUGCCAGCAGCCGCGGUAAUACGGAGGGUGCGAGCGUUAAUCGGAAUUACUGGGCGUAAAGCGUACGCAGGCGGUUUGCUAAGCGAGAUGUGAAAGCCCCGGGCUCAACCUGGGAACUGCAUUUCGAACUGGCAAACUAGAGUGUGAUAGAGGGUGGUAGAAUUUCAGGUGUAGCGGUGGAAUGCGUAGAGAUCU